GUGAAUCAUCGAAUCUUUGAACGCACCUUGCGCUCCUUGGUAUUCCGAGGAGCAUGCCUGUUUGAGUGUCAUUUAAUUCUCAAUCCCCACUAGUUUUUUGUGACUGGCUUGGUGGAUUGGAUGUGGGGGUAUUGUUUGCGGGCCUCUUCAGAGGUCGGCUCCCCUAAAAAGCAUUAGCGGAACCGUUUGCGGACCCGUCACUGGUGUGAUAAUUAUCUACGCCAACGACAACUGCUCUCUGGUAGUUCUGCUUCUAACCGUCCUUUUACUUGGACAAUCAUAUAUUUGAAUGCUUGACCU
RNAcentral lists this unclassified non-coding RNA (300 nucleotides) under uncultured Tulostoma. RNAcentral's name for it is "sequence contains 5.8S rRNA gene, ITS2". The stretch from base 1 to 71 matches the Rfam family "5.8S ribosomal RNA", at positions 84 to 154 of the family's 154-position model. The record is from RNAcentral. Lineage: Eukaryota; Fungi; Basidiomycota; Agaricomycetes; Agaricales; Agaricaceae.